AUAGACGCUUAGCCGGCAGGCCUAACACAUGCAAGUUCGAGGGGCAGCAUAGUAAGUAGCAAUACUUGCGGAUUGGCGACCGGCGCACGGGUGCGUAACGCGUAUGCAACCUACCCGUAACAGGGGGAUAAUCCGAAGAAAUUUGGUCUAAUAUCCCAUAAUAUGACUGAGGGCAUCCUUGGUGAUUGAAAGAUUCGUUGGUUACGGAUGGGCAUGCGUUGUAUUAGCUAGUUGGUAAGGUAACGGCUUACCAAGGCUACGAUACAUAGGGGAACUGAGAGGUUAACCCCCCACACUGGUACUGAGACACGGACCAGACUCCUACGGGAGGCAGCAGUGAGGAAUAUUGGUCAAUGGACGGAAGUCUGAACCAGCCAUGCCGCGUGCAGGAUGACGGCUCUAUGAGUUGUAAACUGCUUUUAUGCUAGGGUAAACUCGGGUACGUGUACCCGACUGAAAGUAUAGCAAGAAUAAGGAUCGGCUAACUCCGUG
RNAcentral lists this ribosomal RNA (492 nucleotides) under uncultured bacterium. RNAcentral's name for it is "bacterial SSU rRNA". It matches the Rfam family "Bacterial small subunit ribosomal RNA", at positions 38 to 507 of the family's 1533-position model. The record is from RNAcentral.